GGCCGGUUAGCUCAGUGGGUUGAGCGCAGUGCUGACAACAAUGACACCACCGAGGUCGUGGGUUCGAUUCCCGCUCGGUCC
RNAcentral lists this transfer RNA (81 nucleotides) under Apaloderma vittatum (bar-tailed trogon). It matches the Rfam family "tRNA". Rfam says of the family: Transfer RNA (tRNA) molecules are approximately 80 nucleotides in length. Their secondary structure includes four short double-helical elements and three loops (D, anti-codon, and T loops). Lineage: Eukaryota; Metazoa; Chordata; Aves; Trogoniformes; Trogonidae. The record is from Rfam by way of RNAcentral.